RNAcentral lists this ribosomal RNA (253 nucleotides) under uncultured bacterium. RNAcentral describes it as "partial 16S ribosomal RNA". It matches the Rfam family "Bacterial small subunit ribosomal RNA", at positions 524 to 776 of the family's 1533-position model. The record is from RNAcentral.
UACGUAGGGGGCAAGCGUUGUCCGGAUUUAUUGGGCGUAAAGAGCGUGUAGGCGGCCAGACAAGUCUGCUGUGAAAACUCGAGGCUCAACCUCGAGCUGUCGGUGGAAACUGUCUGGCUAGAGUCCGGAAGAGGAGAGUGGAAUUCCUGGUGUAGCGGUGAAAUGCGCAGAUAUCAGGAAGAACACCUAUGGCGAAGGCAGCUCGCUGGGACGUUACUGACGCUGAGACGCGAAAGCGUGGGGAGCAAACAGG